This 448-nucleotide ribosomal RNA is filed under the name uncultured bacterium. RNAcentral's name for it is "bacterial SSU rRNA". It matches the Rfam family "Bacterial small subunit ribosomal RNA", at positions 330 to 794 of the family's 1533-position model. The record is from RNAcentral.
UCCAGACUCCUACGGGAGGCAGCAGUGGGGGAUAUUGCACAAUGGGGGAAACCCUGAUGCAGCGACGCCGCGUGAGUGAAGAAGUAUUUCGGUAUGUAAAGCUCUAUCAGCAGGGAAGAAAAAAGACGGUACCUGACUAAGAAGCCCCGGCUAACUACGUGCCAGCAGCCGCGGUAAUACGUAGGGGGCAAGCGUUAUCCGGAUUUACUGGGUGUAAAGGGAGCGUAGACGGCAAUACAAGUCGGAAGUGAAAUACCCGGGCUCAACCUGGGAACUGCUUUGGAAACUGUAUGGCUGGAGUGCUGGAGAGGUAAGCGGAAUUCCUAGUGUAGCGGUGAAAUGCGUAGAUAUUAGGAGGAACACCAGUGGCGAAGGCGGCUUACUGGACAGUAACUGACGUUGAGGCUCGAAAGCGUGGGGAGCAAACAGGAUUAGAUACCCUUGUACC